GCAUUGAUGAUGUAACGGUAACAUCGGGUCUUCCCAUGACAUCUUCAUUCGAUGCUGUUGGAUGGCCCGUCCCCGGGUUCGACUCCCGGUCAAUGCA
Sphagnurus paluster is the source of this 97-nucleotide non-coding RNA. Lineage: Eukaryota; Fungi; Basidiomycota; Agaricomycetes; Agaricales; Lyophyllaceae. The record is from the annotation of a GenBank genome assembly.